CCUACGGGAGGCUGCAGUAGGGAAUUUUCCACAAUGGGCGAAAGCCUGAUGGAGCAACGCCGCGUGGGUGAAGAAGGUCUUCGGAUCGUAAAACCCUGUUGUUAGAGAAGAAAGUGCGUGUGAGUAAUUGUUCACGUCUCGACGGUAUCUACCCAGAAAGCCCCGGCUAACUACGUGCCAGCAGCCGCGGUAAUACGUCGGUGGCAAGCGUUAUCCGGAUUUAUUGGGCGUAAAGGGAACGCAGGCGGUCUGUUAAGUCUGGGGUGAAAGCUUUCGGCUUAACCGGGGUAGUGCAUUGGAAACUGUGAGACUUGAGUGCAGAAGAGGAGAGUGGAACUCCAUGUGUAGCGGUGAAAUGCGUAGAUAUAUGGAAGAACACCAGUGGCGAAGGCGGCUCUCUGGACUGUAACUGACGCUGAGGUUCGAAAGCGUGGGUAGCAAACAGGAUUAGAUACCCCUGUAGUC
RNAcentral lists this ribosomal RNA (465 nucleotides) under uncultured bacterium. RNAcentral's name for it is "partial 16S ribosomal RNA". It matches the Rfam family "Bacterial small subunit ribosomal RNA", at positions 338 to 795 of the family's 1533-position model. The record is from RNAcentral.